Molecule: unclassified non-coding RNA, 394 nt
Filed under: Hevea brasiliensis (rubber tree)
Lineage: Eukaryota; Viridiplantae; Streptophyta; Magnoliopsida; Malpighiales; Euphorbiaceae
Source: RNAcentral
CGAAUUGGUGGCAGUAAAAGAAGAAACAGCUAAUUCGAGGUCCCAACCGUGAGCGGCAAGGAUUUCGGUGCAGAUUUCGGGAUCUUCUAAGCCUGUAAUCGCUUGGAAAUAGGCUAAUUUAUCAGCAAUAUCAACCAUAUCCGGCAAGGACAUAAAUGAAUGGAAGAAUUUUGUGGGUCUGUUUGAUUCGUCUCCUUCUUGAUUCUUCAGAGAUUGAUCGGACUCCAAUCUUCACCUCUCGAUCGAUCAAUCGACAUAAAUCAUCACUGAAUUGAAUUGCUUUCGGAAUUUUGGGAAAUAGAUAGAAUAGAAACAGGAAUCGAAGCGAUCGAUUUUCAUCUGACCAUAAUGCCCUUGCCGGUUCUUUCAAUUUACCAAAUUUUGCCAUUCUCUG